Molecule: non-coding RNA, 72 nt
Organism: Chloropicon primus
Lineage: Eukaryota; Viridiplantae; Chlorophyta; Chloropicophyceae; Chloropicales; Chloropicaceae
Source: the annotation of a GenBank genome assembly
ACGCUUGUAGUCUAAUGGUGAAGAUAUUUGCCUUCCAAGCAAAGGAUCCGGGUUCGAUUCCCGGCGAGCGUA